GAUGAACGCUGGCGGCGUGCCUAAUACAUGCAAGUCGAGCGAAUGGAUUAAGAGCUUGCUCUUAUGAAGUUAGCGGCGGACGGGUGAGUAACACGUGGGUAACCUGCCCAUAAGACUGGGAUAACUCCGGGAAACCGGGGCUAAUACCGGAUAACAUUUUGAACCGUAUGGUUCGAAAUUGAAAGGCGGCUUCGGCUGUCACUUAUGGCUGGACCCGCGUCGCAUUAGCUAGUUGGUGAGGGAACGGCUCACCAAGGCAACGAUGCGUAGCCGACCUGAGAGGGUGAGCGUCCACACUGGGACUGAGACACGGCCCAGACUCCUACGGGAGGCAGCAGUAGGGAAUCUUCCGCAAUGGACGAAAGUCUGACGGAGCAACGCCGCGUGAGUGAUGAAGGCUUUCGGGUCGUAAAACUCUGUUGUUAGGGAAGAACAAGUGCUAGUUGAAUAAGCUGACACCUUGACGGUACCUAACCAGAAAGCCACGGCUAACUACGUGCCAGCAGCCGCCGCGG
This 515-nucleotide ribosomal RNA is filed under the name uncultured bacterium. RNAcentral's name for it is "partial 16S ribosomal RNA". It matches the Rfam family "Bacterial small subunit ribosomal RNA", at positions 28 to 523 of the family's 1533-position model. The record is from RNAcentral.